Molecule: ribosomal RNA, 253 nt
Filed under: uncultured bacterium
Lineage: Bacteria
Description: partial 16S ribosomal RNA
Rfam family: Bacterial small subunit ribosomal RNA
Source: RNAcentral
UACGAAGGGUGCAAGCGUUGCUCGGAAUUAUUGGGCGUAAAGCGCGCGCGGGUGGUCUCAUAAGUCAGAAGUGAAAGCCCUGGGCUUAACCCAGGAAGUGCUUUUGAUACUGUGAGACUUGAAUGUGGGAGAGGGUGCUAGAAUACCUAGUGUAGUGGUGAAAUACGUAGAUAUUAGGUGGAACACCGGUGGGGAAGCCGGGUGCCUGGCCCAACAUUGACACUUAGGCUCGAAAGCGUGGGGAUCAAACAGG